UGGGGGAUAUUGCACAAUGGGCGAAAGCCUGAUGCAGCAACGCCGCGUGAGGGAAGACGGAUUUCGGAUUGUCAACGUAUGUCUAUGGUGACGAAACAAAUGAGGGUAGCCAAGGAGGAAGCCACGGCUAACUACGUGCAAGCAGCCGCAGUAAUAGGUAGGUGACGAGCGGUGUCCGGAAUUACGGGGUGUAAGGGGAGCGCAGGCGGGGAGACAAGUCAGCGGUGAAAACUAUCGGCUUAACUGAUAGAGUGCAGUUGAAACUGUUUUUCUUGAGUGGAGCAGAGGCAGGCGGAAUUCCGAGUGUAGCGGUGAAAUGCGUAGAUAUUCGGAGGAACACAAGUGGCGAAGGCGGCCUGCUGGGCUUUAACUGACUAUGAGGCUCGUAAGUGGGGGGAGCAAACA
RNAcentral lists this ribosomal RNA (405 nucleotides) under uncultured prokaryote. RNAcentral describes it as "bacterial SSU rRNA". It matches the Rfam family "Bacterial small subunit ribosomal RNA", at positions 355 to 774 of the family's 1533-position model. The record is from RNAcentral.